RNAcentral lists this ribosomal RNA (688 nucleotides) under methanogenic archaeon Prasan1. RNAcentral's name for it is "bacterial SSU rRNA". It matches the Rfam family "Archaeal small subunit ribosomal RNA", at positions 336 to 1024 of the family's 1478-position model. Lineage: Archaea; Methanobacteriati; Methanobacteriota; Methanomicrobia; Methanomicrobiales. The record is from RNAcentral.
CAGGCGCGAAAACUUUACAAUGCGGGAAACCGUGAUAAGGGGACACCGAGUGCCAGCAUCAUAUGCUGGCUGUCCGGAUGUGUAAAAUACAUCCGUUAGCAAGGGCCGGGCAAGACCGGUGCCAGCCGCCGCGGUAAUACCGGCGGCUCGAGUGGUGGCCACUAUUACUGGGCUUAAAGCGUUCGUAGCUUGGUUGUUAAGUCUCUUGGGAAAUCUAUCGGCUUAACCGAUAGGCGUCCAGGGGAUACUGGCAAUCUAGGGACCGGGAGAGGUGAGGGGUACUUCAGGGGUAGGAGUGAAAUCCUGUAAUCCUUGGGGGACCACCUGUGGCGAAGGCGCCUCACCAGAACGGCUCCGACAGUGAGGGACGAAAGCUGGGGGAGCAAACCGGAUUAGAUACCCGGGUAGUCCCAGCCGUAAACGAUGUGCGUUAGGUGUAUCGAUGACCACGAGUCAUCGAGGUGCCGAAGGGAAACCGUGAAACGUACCGCCUGGGAAGUACGGUCGCAAGGCUGAAACUUAAAGGAAUUGGCGGGGGAGCACCACAACAGGUGGAGCCUGCGGUUUAAUUGGACUCAACGCCGGGAAGCUCACCGGAUAAGACAGCUGGAUGAUUGCCGGGCUGAAGACUCUGCAUGACUAGCUGAGAGGAGGUGCAUGGCCGUCGUCAGUUCGUACUGUGAAGCAU